RNAcentral lists this ribosomal RNA (492 nucleotides) under uncultured bacterium. RNAcentral's name for it is "partial 16S ribosomal RNA". It matches the Rfam family "Bacterial small subunit ribosomal RNA", at positions 29 to 507 of the family's 1533-position model. The record is from RNAcentral.
AGUGAACGCUGGCGGUAGGCCUAACACAUGCAAGUCGAACGGCAGCACAGUAAGAGCUUGCUCUUACGGGUGGCGAGUGGCGGACGGGUGAGGAAUACAUCGGAAUCUACUUUUUCGUGGGGGAUAACGUAGGGAAACUUACGCUAAUACCGCAUACGGCCUACGGGUGAAAGCAGGGGAUCUUCGGACCUUGCGCGAUUGAAUGAGCCGAUGUCGGAUUAGCUAGUUGGCGGGGUAAAGGCCCACCAAGGCGACGAUCCGUAGCUGGUCUGAGAGGAUGAUCAGCCACACUGGAACUGAGACACGGUCCAGACUCCUACGGGAGGCAGCAGUGGGGAAUAUUGGACAAUGGGCGCAAGCCUGAUCCAGCCAUACCGCGUGGGUGAAGAAGGCCUUCGGGUUGUAAAGCCCUUUUGUUGGGAAAGAAAAGCAGCAGGUUAAUACCCCGCUGUCCUGACGGUACCCAAAGAAUAAGCACCGGCUAACUUCGUG